UAGUUAUAUGCUUGUCUCAAAGACUAAGCCAUGCAUGUCCAAGUAUAAACCAAUUAUACGGUGAAACUGCGAAUGGCUCAUUAUAUCAGUUAUUGUUUAUUUGAUGAUACCCUACCACUUGGAUAACCGUGGUAAUUCUAGAGCUAAUACAUGCACGAAAUCUCGACUCGCUUGCGGGAAGGGAUGUAUUUAUUAGAUAAAAGCCAGCCCGGCGUGCUCUCGGGCGCGUCGGAUCAGCGUGGUGAUUCAUGAUAACUUUGCGGAUCGCACGACUCUA
RNAcentral lists this ribosomal RNA (277 nucleotides) under uncultured eukaryote. Its description in RNAcentral is "partial 18S ribosomal RNA". It matches the Rfam family "Eukaryotic small subunit ribosomal RNA", at positions 21 to 281 of the family's 1831-position model. The record is from RNAcentral.